This 375-nucleotide ribosomal RNA is filed under the name uncultured bacterium. RNAcentral's name for it is "bacterial SSU rRNA". It matches the Rfam family "Bacterial small subunit ribosomal RNA", at positions 438 to 793 of the family's 1533-position model. The record is from RNAcentral.
GGUGGUGUCGUUAAUAGCGGCAUCUAUUUGACGUUAGACAACAGAAGAAGCACCGGCUAACUCCGUGCCAGCAGCCGACGGUAAGUACGGGAGGGUGCGAGUACGUUAAGUACGGUAAUUACGUGGGACGUAAAGCGCAUGCAGGUGGUUUAGUUAAGUCAGAUGUAGAAACGGCCCCGGGGCUACCAACCGUACGGAACUGCUAUUUAGAAACGUGGCAGACUAGAGUACUGUAGGAGGGGGUAGAAUUUCAGGUGUAGCGGUGAAAUGCGUAGAGAUCUGAAGGAAUACCGGUGGCGAAGGCGGCCCCCUGGACAGAUACUGACACUCAGAUGCGAAAGCGUGGGGAGCAAACAGGAUUAGAUACCCUGGUAA